CCUGAAGUGGGUCGUGCGGAUGCUUCUAAACGACCGCGGGUAAGCGACCAUAGAUGGGGCUUUCGUUACGACGAUAUGGCUGCUCCCUUUACUUCUAAUUCUGUUGCUUGUGCUGAGCUUCUUCGUGAAAUUGGUCGUGGCUCGGGUAUUCCUUCGAUGCCCUUAGACUUGAAGGAGGAGAAAGUUUUCGCCGGAGCGGCCAGGAAGUCGAUCGAGGUAUGCUCACCUUCUGGGUUUGAUUCCAAUUUUUUCUUUGAAUUGCAUUCGCUUGACACGCUCUUUGUCCAGGCGAUCGCCGAAUGGGAUCGUUUGACUUAUUUGUACGAGCGUUGUGUUCGGAGCCUUUCCGUAGAGGCUACUAACGCGAAAGAUGCCCAUGAGGCUUUGGCCGUUGAAAAGGAAAAAGUAGCUCAGGCGCUGGCCGACCUGGCAAGGUCUCAAGACGACGCCAAGGAGAUGAAGAGGAAAUAUGACGAGUUAGCUGGUCGCGCUCUUUCGGAGAUGAAGAGGCUUCGAGAACGUCGACUUGAAUAUGCUGAAUUUGUCCGGAGAUCGGCCCUUGAUAAGAUGGCGGAGCUCGUUCAGAAGCGAUUGGAUCGUAUUAAAGCUCAUAUUGACGAUACGAAGGCGGCAGAACCAAAGUUUCUUGAAUUCAACCAAGUAUCUGGGAAUAUCAAGACUCUCGAGGCGUUGGUCGAAGGUGGCGAAGUGGAGAUGAAGUCGGAUGACA
This 730-nucleotide small RNA is filed under the name Arabidopsis thaliana (thale cress). Its description in RNAcentral is "ATSL224750". Lineage: Eukaryota; Viridiplantae; Streptophyta; Magnoliopsida; Brassicales; Brassicaceae. The record is from RNAcentral.